AACGAACGCUGGCGGCAUGCCUAACACAUGCAAGUCGAACGAGACCUUCGGGUCUAGUGGCGCACGGGUGCGUAACGCGUGGGAACCUGCCCUUAGGUUCGGAAUAACUCCCCGAAAGGGGUGCUAAUACCGGAUAAUGUCUUCGGACCAAAGAUUUAUCGCCUUUGGAUGGGCCCGCGUUGGAUUAGCUAGUUGGUAGGGUAAAAGCCUACCAAGGCGACGAUCCAUAGCUGGUCUGAGAGGAUGAUCAGCCACACUGGGACUGAGACACGGCCCAGACUCCUACGGGAGGCAGCAGGGGGGAAUAUUGGACAAUGGGCGAGAGCCUGAUCCAGCAAUGCCGCGUGAGUGAUGAAGGCCUUAGGGUUGUAAAGCUCUUUUACCCGGGAUGAUAAUGACAGUACCGGGAGAAUAAGCGCCGGCUAACUCCGUG
This 433-nucleotide ribosomal RNA is filed under the name uncultured bacterium. RNAcentral's name for it is "partial 16S ribosomal RNA". It matches the Rfam family "Bacterial small subunit ribosomal RNA", at positions 29 to 507 of the family's 1533-position model. The record is from RNAcentral.